Molecule: ribosomal RNA, 405 nt
Filed under: uncultured bacterium
Lineage: Bacteria
Description: bacterial SSU rRNA
Rfam family: Bacterial small subunit ribosomal RNA
Source: RNAcentral
UGGGGAAUAUUGGACAAUGGGCGGAAGCCUGAUCCAGCAACGCCGCGCGAGGGAUGACGGCCUUCGGGUUGUAAACCUCUUUCACCGAUGACAAAGCGCAAGUGACGGUAGUCGGAGAAGAAGCACCGGCCAACUACGUGCCAGCAGCCGCGGUAAUACGUAGGGUGCGAGCGUUGUCCGGAAUUAUUGGGCGUAAAGGGCUCGUAGGCGGUUUGUCGCGUCGGGAGUGAAAACACCGGGCUUAACUCGGUGCUUGCUUUCGAUACGGGCAGACUAGAGGUAUGCAGGGGAGAACGGAAUUCCUGGUGUAGCGGUGAAAUGCGCAGAUAUCAGGAGGAACACCGGUGGCGAAGGCGGUUCUCUGGGCAUUACCUGACGCUGAGGAGCGAAAGCGUGGGGAGCGAA